AGAAGCCCCAAUGACAGGCUGACAUGGACCUGGUCUCCAAAGACCACAUCGUGUACGUUUGUACCAACUUCCUGCAAAAUUAUCAAGAGCCUUAGAAAUAUCCAUUCCCCUUGACUCAAUGAUUGGACUCACAGAAAUAGCCCAUGGUACUAGCAAAUACGAAGAAUGAAAUGCUCACCAUCCAAGCCUGCAGAUGGAGAUGAAUUAGAUUUUAGAAGAUUGAUUGCCGUGUGAACUGAUGGCCAAAACACUCUGGAUGUUGGACCAGCCAAUUUCUGAAUCCAACACAGCUGCCAUGCUCCGUCUUUCAUGGGAUAGGAGGCAUGGGUUGCCAUGUUUCUAACUGGAGGAGGAGACCUGGGGACUCUGGGUAGCUCUGAAAUUUGAACACCAUGAUUUGCUUGCAAGUUGCCCAGAGCCUCUGGGACUAAAGCCAAAAAGGUCAGCACCAAAAGUGAGUAUUCUUUUCGCUUAACUUUUAUUCGGACUCCUAAACCAGGGCUCACUAUCCACUCAAACCUAAGACAUUAAAAGGAGGAUCUUCUGAAACAAAACUCAGGGCUACAAACAAGAGAGACAUUCUGUUAAAUAUAAUAAAGUAUCAGAGAAAUAUGGGUAUGGAAUUUGUCUUUGCAGUAUAAAGAAUUUUCCUCUCUUCCCUCCACCCCCACUUAGUGUGGAAGUAGACAUUGGUGAUGACAAAUGACAGCCCACAAGAGGACACACAAUGGUGAGGGAUAAAGGCACUAAGCUCUGAACUGUGUAAGUAGUUAUAUCCAUGUUUAUAAAAUUUUGUGGAUCAAAUUCCUCUUUAAGACAUGGAGGAAAGAUACGAAACUUCUCCUUGAAAAA
This 852-nucleotide long non-coding RNA is filed under the name Zalophus californianus (California sea lion). RNAcentral describes it as "lncRNA (ENSZCAG00015023355.1)". Lineage: Eukaryota; Metazoa; Chordata; Mammalia; Carnivora; Otariidae. The record is from RNAcentral.